CUUGGUUUAGAGGAAGUAAAAGUCGUAACAAGGUUUCCGUAGGUGAACCUGCGGAAGGAUCAUUAACACGUAUCCAACGUAUCCACCCCUGUGGUCUUGUGCGCGUCUAUACAUUGAGUGAUGGAAACCACUUUGCAACCCGCGUGGUGCAAAUGAAAACCGCAUCGCUGAGUCUUAAGUUACCCGCGAGGUAGCAGAAAUUCAGAUGUGUGGUUGGUAACUGUCAGUUUUCUUCGAGAGAACAGCUCUGUGUAGCAGACGUUUUAACCAACCAUUUAACCCAAAUUGUCUAAUCUAGAAAUAAGUAUGGUGCGCCCUGCUUUAUUUCGACUUACGAAAUGUUACAACUCUUAACAACGGAUAUCUUGGUUCUG
RNAcentral lists this unclassified non-coding RNA (374 nucleotides) under fungal sp. Its description in RNAcentral is "partial internal transcribed spacer region". The stretch from base 1 to 65 matches the Rfam family "Eukaryotic small subunit ribosomal RNA", at positions 1767 to 1831 of the family's 1831-position model. Lineage: Eukaryota; Fungi. The record is from RNAcentral.